CGCCCGCUUUACGUUAGUCCGGGAACCAUGGCAAUGACAGUUGGUUAGCUAGCGUGUCGCCGCUUAGAAAAGGUCUGACUGCACGAACGUUCACUGUUGCAGUGCUGCCUUUGGGAGCAUGUGGUCCUUGAAACACUUCUCUAGUCCAGCAAUAUGAGUGUGCCAGAGGUCGUCACGCUGGACGGGAGGCUGUGGUGGUCCACGAUAACGAAGAAGCAGGUGUCCCUUCCGGUGAUGUGGAACUGACCUUGGACUUGGACCUGGUGCCAGGAAGGAUGGUCGUCACAGAGGCAGUAAGACCUUCCCUCCGCUUGGAUAUAGAAAUCAUUCGACCUCCUCUUCAAUGGUCAGGUCCCUUUUAGGCACCAUAGGAACACUUGACCUCCACCACCAGACCAUCCGGUGAGGCACCCAGGAUCCCAGACCAUCUGGUGAGGGGCACCCAGGAUCCCAGACCAUCCGGUGAGGCACCCAGGAUC
This is a long non-coding RNA of Oncorhynchus tshawytscha (Chinook salmon), 479 nucleotides long. Lineage: Eukaryota; Metazoa; Chordata; Actinopteri; Salmoniformes; Salmonidae. The record is from Ensembl.